RNAcentral lists this ribosomal RNA (441 nucleotides) under uncultured Phycisphaera sp. RNAcentral describes it as "partial 16S ribosomal RNA". The record is from RNAcentral. Lineage: Bacteria; Pseudomonadati; Planctomycetota; Phycisphaerae; Phycisphaerales; Phycisphaeraceae.
GACUACCGGGGUAUCUAAUCCCGUUUGCUACCCACGCUUUCGUGCCUCAGCGUCAGAAUCGGCCCAGUCGCCUGUCUUCACCAUUGGCGUUCCUCUAGAUAUCUACGCAUUUCACCGCUCCACCUAGAGUUCCAGCGACCUCUACCGACCUCAAGCCCCGCAGUCUACCGAGCAAUUCCAUGGUUGAGCCAUGGGAUUUCACAAGGCACUUGCGAGACAGCCUACGCACCCUUUAAGCCCAGUGAUUCCGAUUAACGCUUGAGACCUCUGUAUUACCGCGGCUGCUGGCACAGAGUUAGCCGUCUCUUCCUCUGGGUAUGCUCAUUCUUUUGCUAAACCCUGACAGGAGUUUACACCCCGAGGGGCUUCAUCCUCCACGCGGCAUCGCUCCGUCACGCUUUCGCGCAUUGCGGAAUAUUCCUUACUGCAGCCCCCCGUAGG